UCUGUGUCUAGGGGCAACCACUGCUCCCUGUCUAAUCUUCAUCCUACCGGGACUGUUCUACAUUCGGAUCAUCCCCACUGACCACGAGCCCAUGAACUCCAGACCAAAGAUCCAGGCUGCGUGUUUCACAGCAUUGGGUUUCAUAUUCAUGACCAUGAGCCUGAUGUUCAUUGUGCUUGACUGGAUGAGUGGAGAGAAGCGAAACCUCGGCGGCCAUUGAAGGGCACCCCAAGCUUUGAAGCAAUCCCACCUCAAGUCCUUUUGAUGGGAAGCCAGAUGGAACAUACUGCUGAAAGGCACAGCUCUUUGGUGGGACUGUUUUUAUUCAUCAUAAGGACAACCCAUUCCUCCUCAGUGAUGAGAGGAGCCCAGUCUUGUUAUGUAGACCACAAAGGUUCAAAUAUACGGCACCACCAGGAUCCAUCACAGGUGGUGCUCCUCUGUACAGAUGAACCAUCAAAAACCUCAACUGAGGAUAAAUGUGGUGUCAAGUAACCGCAACAUUCAAACAUCUGUUUAAUUAUCAGCAAAGUUUGAUAGCAAAAAAAGAAUUGAAUAUGCAGCGUGAAUUGCUUGUAGCAUACCAAAACUGUAUUGCUAAUGUGUGUUUGUGAGUGUAACGGUAUGUGUGUGUGUCUAGAUCAUUUACUGUCAAUCAGAGAAAUGCACACACCAAAUAAACAGCAUAAGAGGGAACCCAGUCUUUUUGUUAGUUUCAAGCUUAAUGUUUUGUAUUGUUGGAAGAUUUCCACUACACACUGCUGCUUCGAGCUCCAAGAUGACCAAUUGUUUAAUGGAACAUUACAAUAAAAGAGAGCCCAAGUCUGCGCA
Molecule: long non-coding RNA, 831 nt
Organism: Notothenia coriiceps (black rockcod)
Lineage: Eukaryota; Metazoa; Chordata; Actinopteri; Perciformes; Nototheniidae
Exons: 2
Source: RefSeq, a predicted model, not a curated record